Molecule: ribosomal RNA, 199 nt
Filed under: Dolichognatha longiceps
Lineage: Eukaryota; Metazoa; Arthropoda; Arachnida; Araneae; Tetragnathidae
Description: partial 28S ribosomal RNA
Rfam family: Eukaryotic large subunit ribosomal RNA
Source: RNAcentral
AAUGAAAGCAAAGACCUAUUAUGGCCGAGUCGAGAUCCCGGCUCCUUCGCGGGCCGGGCGCACCGACGACCCGUCCCGUCUGUUUUAACAGUGGGGCGGCGUUAGAGCAUACACGUUGGGACCCGAAAGAUGGUGAGCUAUGCCCGGGCAGGACGAGGCCAGAGGAAACUCUGGUGGAGGUCCGCAGCGGUUCUGACGU